AGACCCGAAACCCGGUGAUCUAGCCAUGGGCAGGUUGAAGGUUGGGUAACACUAACUGGAGGACCGAACCGACUAAUGUUGAAAAAUUAGCGGAUGACCUGUGGCUGGGGGUGAAAGGCCAAUCAAACCGGGAGAUAGCUGGUUCUCCCCGAAAGCUAUUUAGGUAGCGCCUCGUGAAUUCAUCUCCGGGGGUAGAGCACUGUUUCGGCUAGGGGGCCAUCCCGGCUUACCAACCCGAUGCAAACUGCGAAUACCGGAGAAUGUUAUCACGGGAGACACACGGCGGGUGCUAACGUCCGUCGUGAAGAGGGAAACAACCCAGACCGCCAGCUAAGGUCCCAAAGUCAUGGUUAAGUGGGAAACGAUGUGGGAAGGCCCAGACAGCCAGGAUGUUGGCUUAGAAGCAGCCAUCAUUUAAAGAAAGCGUAAUAGCUCACUGGUCGAGUCGGCCUGCGCGGAAGAUGUAACGGGGCUAAACCAUGCACCGAAGCUGCGGCAGCGACACUCAGGUGUUGUUGGGUAGGGGAGCGUUCUGUAAGUCUGCGAAGGUGGCCUGUGAGGGUUGCUGGAGGUAUCAGAAGUGCGAAUGCUGACAUAAGUAACGAUAAAGCGGGUGAAAAGCCCGCUCGCCGGAAGACCAAGGGUUCCUGUC
RNAcentral lists this ribosomal RNA (652 nucleotides) under Salmonella enterica subsp. enterica serovar Infantis. Its description in RNAcentral is "partial 23S ribosomal RNA". It matches the Rfam family "Bacterial large subunit ribosomal RNA", at positions 711 to 1359 of the family's 2925-position model. Lineage: Bacteria; Pseudomonadati; Pseudomonadota; Gammaproteobacteria; Enterobacterales; Enterobacteriaceae. The record is from RNAcentral.